GAUGAAGAACGUAGCGAAAUGCGAUAAGUAAUGUGAAUUGCAGAAUUCAGUGAAUCAUCGAAUCUUUGAACGCACCUUGCGCCCUUUGGCCAUUCCGAAGGGCAUGCCUGUUUGAGUAUCAUGAACACCUCAACUCUUUAUGGUUUUCCAUGAUGAGCUUGGACUCUGGGGGUUUUGCUGGCUCACAGUCGGAUCCUCUAAAAUGAAUCAGCUUACCAGUGUUUGGUGGGUAUCAUGGGUGUGAUAACUAUCUACGCUUGUGGUUUUUCCACCAGGUAACCUUCAGCAGUGGAGGUUCGCUGGAGCUCAUAGAUGUCUCUCCUCAGUGAGGACAGCCCUUUGAAUGUUUGAUCUCAAAUCAGGUAGGACUACCCGCUGAAAUUAAGCAUAUCAAUAAGCGGAGGA
This 405-nucleotide unclassified non-coding RNA is filed under the name soil metagenome. RNAcentral's name for it is "partial contains 5.8S ribosomal RNA, internal transcribed spacer 2, and large subunit ribosomal RNA". The stretch from base 1 to 121 matches the Rfam family "5.8S ribosomal RNA", at positions 35 to 154 of the family's 154-position model. The record is from RNAcentral.